This is a non-coding RNA of Macaca mulatta (Rhesus monkey), 71 nucleotides long. NCBI's taxonomy places the organism in Eukaryota, Metazoa, Chordata, Mammalia, Primates, Cercopithecidae. The record is from Rfam.
ACUUUUAAAGGAUUGGAGUCAUCCACUGGACUUAGGAACCAAAAACAUUGGUGCAACUCCAAAUAAAAGUA